RNAcentral lists this ribosomal RNA (305 nucleotides) under uncultured bacterium. RNAcentral's name for it is "bacterial SSU rRNA". It matches the Rfam family "Bacterial small subunit ribosomal RNA", at positions 335 to 638 of the family's 1533-position model. The record is from RNAcentral.
UACCUACGGGGGGCAGCAGUGAGGAAUAUUGGUCAAUGGGCGGUAGCCUGAACCAGCCAAGUAGCGUGAAGGAUGAAGGUUCUAUGGAUUGUAAACUUCUUUUCUCAAGGAAUACAGUGAGGCACGUGUGCCUUUUUGUAUGUACUUUAUGGAUAAGGAUCGGCUAACUCCGUGCCCGCAGCCGCGGUAAUACGGAGGAUCCGCGCGUUAUCCGGAUUUAUUGGGUUUAAAGGGAGCGUAGAUGGGUUGUUAAGUCAGUUGUGAAAGUUUGCGGCUCAACCGUAAAAUUGCACUUUCUCCUGGCG